UUAAGCGACUAAGCGUACACGGUGGAUGCCCUGGCAGUCAGAGGCGAUGAAGGACGUGCUAAUCUGCGAAAAGCGUCGGUAAGGUGAUAUGAACCGUUAUAACCGGCGAUGUCCGAAUGGGGAAACCCAGUGCAAUUCGUUGCACUAUCGUUAACUGAAUACAUAGGUUAACGAGGCGAACCGGGGGAACUGAAACAUCUAAGUACCCCGAGGAAAAGAAAUCAACCGAGAUUCCCCCAGUAGCGGCGAGCGAACGGGGAGCAGCCCAGAGUCUGAAUCAGCUUGUGUGUUAGUGGAACGGUCUGGAAAGUCCGACGGUACAGGGUGAUAGUCCCGUACACCAAAAUGCACAGGCUGUGAACUCGAAGAGUAGGGCGGGACACGUGGUAUCCUGUCUGAAUAUGGGGGGACCAUCCUCCAAGGCUAAAUACUCCUGACUGACCGAUAGUGAACCAGUACCGUGAGGGAAAGGCGAAAAGAACCCCGGCGAGGGGAGUGAAAAAGAACCUGAAACCGUGUACGUACAAGCAGUGGGAGCACCUUCGGGUGUGACUGCGUACCUUUUGUAUAAUGGGUCAGCGACUUAUAUUCUGUAGCAAGGUUAACCGUAUAGGGGAGCCGCAGGGAAACCGAGUCUUAACUGGGCGUUAAGUUGCAGGGUAUAGACCCGAAACCCGGUGAUCUAGCCAUGGGCAGGUUGAAGGUUGGGUAACACUAACUGGAGGACCGAACCGACUAAUGUUGAAAAAUUAGCGGAUGACUUGUGGCUGGGGGUGAAAGGCCAAUCAAACCGGGAGAUAGCUGGUUCUCCCCGAAAGCUAUUUAGGUAGCGCCUCGUGAACUCAUCUUCGGGGGUAGAGCACUGUUUCGGCUAGGGGGUCAUCCCGACUUACCAACCCGAUGCAAACUACGAAUACCGAAGAAUGUUAUCACGGGAGACACACGGCGGGUGCUAACGUCCGUCGUGAAGAGGGAAACAACCCAGACCGCCAGCUAAGGUCCCAAAGUCAUGGUUAAGUGGGAAACGAUGUGGGAAGGCACAGACAGCCAGGAUGUUGGCUUAGAAGCAGCCAUCAUUUAAAGAAAGCGUAAUAGCUCACUGGUCGAGUCGGCCUGCGCGGAAGAUGUAACGGGGCUAAACCAUGCACCGAAGCUGCGGCAGCGACACUAUGUGUUGUUGGGUAGGGGAGCGUUCUGUAAGCCUGCGAAGGUGUGCUGUGAGGCAUGCUGGAGGUAUCAGAAGUGCGAAUGCUGACAUAAGUAACGAUAAAGCGGGUGAAAAGCCCGCUCGCCGGAAGACCAAGGGUUCCUGUCCAACGUUAAUCGGGGCAGGGUGAGUCGACCCCUAAGGCGAGGCCGAAAGGCGUAGUCGAUGGGAAACAGGUUAAUAUUCCUGUACUUGGUGUUACUGCGAAGGGGGGACGGAGAAGGCUAUGUUAGCCGGGCGACGGUUGUCCCGGUUUAAGCAUGUAGGCUGAUUGUCCAGGCAAAUCCGGAUAAUCAAGGCUGAGGUGUGAUGACGAGGCACUACGGUGCUGAAGUAACAAAUGCCCUGCUUCCAGGAAAAGCCUCUAAGCAUCAGGUAACAUUAAAUCGUACCCCAAACCGACACAGGUGGUCAGGUAGAGAAUACCAAGGCGCUUGAGAGAACUCGGGUGAAGGAACUAGGCAAAAUGGUGCCGUAACUUCGGGAGAAGGCACGCUGGUGUGUAGGUGAAGUCCCUGCGGAUGGAGCUGAGACCAGUCGAAGAUACCAGCUGGCUGCAACUGUUUAUUAAAAACACAGCACUGUGCAAACACGAAAGUGGACGUAUACGGUGUGACGCCUGCCCGGUGCCGGAAGGUUAAUUGAUGGGGUUAUCCGUAAGGAGAAGCUCUUGAUCGAAGCCCCGGUAAACGGCGGCCGUAACUAUAACGGUCCUAAGGUAGCGAAAUUCCUUGUCGGGUAAGUUCCGACCUGCACGAAUGGCGUAAUGAUGGCCAGGCUGUCUCCACCCGAGACUCAGUGAAAUUGAACUCGCUGUGAAGAUGCAGUGUACCCGCGGCAAGACGGAAAGACCCCGUGAACCUUUACUAUAGCUUGACACUGAACAUUGAGCCUUGAUGUGUAGGAUAGGUGGGAGGCUUUGAAGCGUGGACGCCAGUCUGCGUGGAGCCAACCUUGAAAUACCACCCUUUAAUGUUUGAUGUUCUAACGUUGGCCCCUGACCGGGGUUGCGGACAGUGUCUGGUGGGUAGUUUGACUGGGGCGGUCUCCUCCCAAAGCGUAACGGAGGAGCACGAAGGUUAGCUAAUCCUGGUCGGACAUCAGGAGGUUAGUGCAAUGGCAUAAGCUAGCUUGACUGCGAGCGUGACGGCGCGAGCAGGUGCGAAAGCAGGUCAUAGUGAUCCGGUGGUUCUGAAUGGAAGGGCCAUCGCUCAACGGAUAAAAGGUACUCCGGGGAUAACAGGCUGAUACCGCCCAAGAGUUCAUAUCGACGGCGGUGUUUGGCACCUCGAUGUCGGCUCAUCACAUCCUGGGGCUGAAGUAGGUCCCAAGGGUAUGGCUGUUCGCCAUUUAAAGUGGUACGCGAGCUGGGUUUAGAACGUCGUGAGACAGUUCGGUCCCUAUCUGCCGUGGGCGCUGGAGAAUUGAGGGGGGCUGCUCCUAGUACGAGAGGACCGGAGUGGACGCAUCACUGGUGUUCGGGUUGUCAUGCCAAUGGCACUGCCCGGUAGCUAAAUGCGGAAGAGAUAAGUGCUGAAAGCAUCUAAGCACGAAACUUGCCCCGAGAUGAGUUCUCCCUGAGACUUUAAGUCUCCUGAAGGAACGUUAAAGACGAUGACGUUGAUAGGCCGGGUGUGUAAGCGCAGCGAUGCGUUGAGCUAACCGGUACUAAUGAACCGUGAGGCUUAACCUU
Molecule: ribosomal RNA, 2900 nt
Filed under: Klebsiella oxytoca
Lineage: Bacteria; Pseudomonadati; Pseudomonadota; Gammaproteobacteria; Enterobacterales; Enterobacteriaceae
Also listed under: 36 other names
Description: bacterial LSU rRNA
Rfam family: Bacterial large subunit ribosomal RNA
Source: RNAcentral